ACCUAACAACUAGCCUCUAUAACUAAAAACAACAUUAAACUAUAAAUACCCCCUAAAACAUCAUACUUCAUAUCAACAAAACAUUUUUCCCCCUAAGUAUGGGCGACAGAAAAAGGACCCGAGAGCAAUAAAAAGAGUACCGCAAGGGAAAGCUGAAAAAAAAAUGAAA
This 169-nucleotide ribosomal RNA is filed under the name Parapercis hexophtalma (speckled sandperch). Its description in RNAcentral is "partial 16S ribosomal RNA". The record is from RNAcentral. Lineage: Eukaryota; Metazoa; Chordata; Actinopteri; Uranoscopiformes; Pinguipedidae.